UACGUAGGUGGCAAGCGUUGUCCGGAAUUACUGGGCGUAAAGCGCGCGUAGGCGGCCUCGUAAGUCGGAUGUGAAAGCCCACGGCUCAACCUGGGAAAUCCAUUGGAAACUGGAAGGCUUGAGUGCAGAAGAGGAGGGCGGAAUUACCGGUGUAGCGGUGAAAUGCGUAGAUAUAGGGAGGAACAACAGUGGCGAAGGCGGCCCUCUGGUCCAGUACUGACGCUCAAGUGCGAAAGCGUGGGGAGCAAACAGG
Molecule: ribosomal RNA, 253 nt
Filed under: uncultured bacterium
Lineage: Bacteria
Description: partial 16S ribosomal RNA
Rfam family: Bacterial small subunit ribosomal RNA
Source: RNAcentral